GAUGAACGCUGGCGGCGUGCCUAAUACAUGCAAGUCGAGCGAACAGACCAGUACCUUCCUCCUCUGACCUUAUCCUCGGACGGCUAACUAACACGUGGAUAACCUACCUAUUAGACUCGACUUACUUCUAGAAACCGGAGCUUAUACCGGAUAAUAUAUUGAACCGCAUGGUUCAAUAGUUAAAGACGGUUUUUCUUUCACUUAUUGAUGGUUCCGCGCCGCAUUAGCUAGUUGGUAAGGUAACGGCUUACCAAGGCAACGAUGCGUAGCGGACCUGAGAGGGAGAGCGGCGACACUGGAACUGAGACACGGACCAGACUCCUACGGGAGGCAGAAGUAGGGAAUGGUACGCAAUGGGAGAAAGCGUGACGGAGCAACGGCGAGGGAGUGAUGAAGGUCUUGGGAUCGGAAAAGUCUGUUAUUAGGGAAGAACAAAUGUGUAAGUAACUAUGAACGUGGUGACGGUAGCUAAAGAGAAAGCAACGGCUAACUACGUG
RNAcentral lists this ribosomal RNA (497 nucleotides) under uncultured bacterium. Its description in RNAcentral is "partial 16S ribosomal RNA". It matches the Rfam family "Bacterial small subunit ribosomal RNA", at positions 28 to 507 of the family's 1533-position model. The record is from RNAcentral.